GAUGAACGCUGGCGGCGUGCCUAAUACAUGCAAGUCGAGCGAACAGACGAGGAGCUUGCUCCUCUGACGUUAGCGGCGGACGGGUGAGUAACACGUGGAUAACCUACCUAUAAUACUGGGAUAACUUCGGGAAACCGGAGCUAAUACCGGAUAAUAUAUUGAACCGCAUGGUUCAAUAGUGAAAGACGGUUUUGCUGUCACUUAUAGAUGGAUCCGCGCCGCAUUAGCUAGUUGGUAAGGUAACGGCUUACCAAGGCAACGAUGCGUAGCCGACCUGAGAGGGUGAUCGGCCACACUGGAACUGAGACACGGUCCAGACUCCUACGGGAGGCAGCAGUAGGGAAUCUUCCGCAAUGGGCGAAAGCUUGACGGAGCAACGCCGCGUGAGUGAUGAAGGUCUUCGGAUCGUAAAACUCUGUUAUUAGGGAAGAACAAAUGUGUAAGUAACUAUGCACGUCUUGACGGUACCUAAUCAGUAAGCCACGGCUAACUACGUG
This 497-nucleotide ribosomal RNA is filed under the name uncultured bacterium. RNAcentral's name for it is "partial 16S ribosomal RNA". It matches the Rfam family "Bacterial small subunit ribosomal RNA", at positions 28 to 507 of the family's 1533-position model. The record is from RNAcentral.